GUGGGGAAUAUUCCGCAAUGGACGAAAGUCUGACGGAGCAACGCCGCGUGAGUGAUGAAGGUUUUCGGACUGUAAAGCUCUGUUGUUUAGGACGAAAGUGCCUGUUGCAAAUAGUUACAGGUAUUGACGGUACUGAACGAGGAAGCCACGGCUAACUACGUGCCGGCAGCCGCGGUAAUACGUAGGUGGCAAGCGUUGUCCGGAAUUAUUGGGCGUAAAGAGCAUGUAGGCGGGAAUCUAAGUCUGUUGUGAAAAUGCGGGGCUCAACCCCGUAUUGCGAUGGAAACUGGGUUUCUUGAGUGCAGGAGAGGAAAGGGGAAUUCCCAGUGUAGCGGUGAAAUGCGUAGAUAUCGGGAGGAACACCAGUGGCGAAGGCGGGUUCCUGGCCCAUGACUGACGCUGAGGUGCGAAAGCCGGGGGAGCGAACGGGAUUAGAAACCCCGGUAGUCC
This 450-nucleotide ribosomal RNA is filed under the name uncultured bacterium. RNAcentral's name for it is "partial 16S ribosomal RNA". It matches the Rfam family "Bacterial small subunit ribosomal RNA", at positions 354 to 796 of the family's 1533-position model. The record is from RNAcentral.